This 1155-nucleotide long non-coding RNA is filed under the name Capra hircus (goat). Its description in RNAcentral is "lncRNA (ENSCHIG00000002202.1)". The record is from RNAcentral. Lineage: Eukaryota; Metazoa; Chordata; Mammalia; Artiodactyla; Bovidae.
CUUGAAACAAGAUUGCUAAAAUCUUUCCUAGGGUCUUAGAAAAGGCUAUUAAAAUAAAGGGUUCAGAAGCUUCAUUAACUUAAAGAUAAAUCUACUCUUGCAAAAUUUUUUGGGAGGGGGAAAGCAAUAAUAUCAAAGGAUUUGCAGUAGACAAAUCCUUUGAUAUCUGAAACUGAAGCUCCAAUAUUUAGGACACGUGAUGCAAAGUGCUGGCUUAUCAGAAAAGUCCCUGAUGCUGGGAAAAUUGAGGGUAAGAGGAGAAGGGGUCAACAGAGGAUGAGAUGGUUGGAUGGCAUCACUCAUUCAACGGACAUGAAUGUGAACAAACUCCAGGAGAUAGUGAAGGACAGGGAAGCCUGGCGUGCUGCAGUCCAUGGGGUCACAGGAGUUGGACACGACUGAGCGACUGAACAACAACAAAAAUUUAUAACAACUAUCAGAGCCCAGGCCUGAUCACUGGAGAUUUUGCAGAUCGAUGCUUCUAUGCCCUAGGAGCUCAAGAUGGAGAGCUUUUCUGGAUUUUCUUCUCCUUUUCACAUCGCCUCUCUGGAAGAGUCAUUACCAACAGUAACACCAAGAGGCUCUGGCCUGUCACCUCAUUUGUCCUUACCCUGCAGUGACAUAGGACAACUCCCCUCAAAGGCAAGAAGACAGUUGGAGCUAGAACCACAGCAACGAGAGAUAAGCAACCUAAAUGUCCAUCAACAGAUGGAGGGAUAAAGAAGAUUUGGUGCAUAUACACAAUGAAAUAUUACUCAACCAUAAAACAGGAACAAAACUGGGUCAUUUGUGAAGAUGUGGAUGGACCUAGAGUCUGUCAUACAGACUGAAGUAAGUCAGAGAAAAACAAACAUCAUAUAUUUAUGCAUAUAUGUGGAAUCUAGAAAAAUGGUAUAGAUGAAACUAUCUGCAGGACAGGAACAGACACUCAGAUGUCGAGAACAGAUGUGUGAACAUGGGGAGUGGGUUGCGGGGGAGGAGAGGGACACACACACACUACCUUGUAUAAAACAGAUGGCUAGCGGGAGCCUGCAGGUCAGCACAGGAAGCUCAGCCCGGUGCUCCGUGGUGCCCUGGAGGGCUGGGGUGGAGAGGAGCAGGGUUUAAGAGGAACAGGGAGUAUGUAUACACCGAGCCGAUUCACUUUGUUGUGCG